This 497-nucleotide ribosomal RNA is filed under the name uncultured bacterium. RNAcentral's name for it is "partial 16S ribosomal RNA". It matches the Rfam family "Bacterial small subunit ribosomal RNA", at positions 28 to 507 of the family's 1533-position model. The record is from RNAcentral.
GAUGAACGCUGGCGGCGUGCCUAAUACAUGCAAGUCGAGCGAACAGACGAGGAGCUUGCUCCUCUGACGUUAGCGGCGGACGGGUGAGUAACACGUGGAUAACCUACCUAUAAGACUGCGAUAACUUCGGGAAACCGGAGCUAAUACCGGAUAAUAUAUUGAACCGCAUGGUUCAAUAGUGAAAGACGGUUUUGCUGUCACUUAUAGAUGGAUCCGCGCCGCAUUAGCUAGUUGGUAAGGUAACGGCUUACCAAGGCAACGAUGCGUAGCCGACCUGAGAGGGUGAUCGGCCACACUGGAACUGAGACACGGUCCAGACUCCUACGGGAGGCAGCAGUAGGGAAUCUUCCGCAAUGGGCGAAAGCCCGACGGAGCAACGCCGCGUGAGUGAUGAAGGUCUUCGGAUCGUAAAACUCUGUUAUUAGGGAAGAACAAAUGUGUAAGUAACUAUGCACGUCUUGACGGUACCUAAUCAGAAAGCCACGGCUAACUACGUG